UGUUUUGUUUUUUUACAGUUGGAUCCUCCAGAUUGCAGAUUAUUGCAUUUAAAAUCAGCCUCUGUGUCGUUCCUCAACCCUGAAGUCUGGACCGCUUCAUCAGCUCAGCAAGGGAGAUACCUCCAUAUUCUGAAGGACAUUGUGGAGAAGAUGUCAGCUGGAGUACUCAGGCCUCAGCCCGAGGAGGCGGUCCCUCUCUAUGAAGCGACGGUUGCCAUGGAGACCGUGCAGCGUCACCAAAAGAAAAAAGCCGUUGUUCAACUCUGACCAAAAAUAAUCACAUUCUGCUGCGACGUGAGACAAACACGGCCCACGGUUCAACAGGAUCAGGGCUUAAACUGUUUAAUGCAGCCAGUGAACAUGUACAAACAGUUGUUGUUUUCACUCGUUAAAUUGUUUAUCACAACAUGCGUCAUGUGGGAGACGGGGAGAUAGACCUGAUGCAUUUCCAUUAAUUGGGCUAAUACUGAGAAACAGACACAUUAACACCUAUAAUCAGCG
Long non-coding RNA from Seriola dumerili (greater amberjack), 501 nucleotides. RefSeq lists it as uncharacterized. The record is from RefSeq and is a predicted model, not a curated record. The transcript has 3 exons. Lineage: Eukaryota; Metazoa; Chordata; Actinopteri; Carangiformes; Carangidae.